This is a small nuclear RNA of Lynx canadensis (Canada lynx), 107 nucleotides long. The record is from Ensembl. NCBI's taxonomy places the organism in Eukaryota, Metazoa, Chordata, Mammalia, Carnivora, Felidae.
GUGCUCACUUUGGCAGCACGUAUACUAAAAUUGGAACAAUACAGGGGAGACUAGCAUGGCUUAUGCCUAAGGAUGGCACGCAAACUCAUGAAGCGUUCCAUAUACAA